This 119-nucleotide ribosomal RNA is filed under the name Ursidibacter maritimus. RNAcentral's name for it is "partial 16S ribosomal RNA". Lineage: Bacteria; Pseudomonadati; Pseudomonadota; Gammaproteobacteria; Pasteurellales; Pasteurellaceae. The record is from RNAcentral.
GGAACGGAGACACGGGGGAGACGCCGGCGGGAGGCAGCAGGGGGGAAGAGGGCACAAGGGGGGAAACCCGGAGGCAGCCAGGCCGCGGGAAUGAAGAAGGCCUUCGGAUUGUAAAAUAC